CUAAAAGUAAAUAAGAACGGGACCAACUUGGCAAGAAUAAAACCAUGUAUUUGCUCGAGCAACAUUUCAAGAACACCUGCACAGCUAUUUUGGCAAUGCGCUGGUAGCUCUAUUCAGCCUUCCUCGUCUGUUAUCCACCUUCAGAUAUCGACUCUUUUAAUCAACAUCUCCGAGGAACAGUUCGUCAAUAACGGUAGCGUGGGCAAUACAAGAGUGGAGCGAAUCAACGUCCACCUUCACCCAAGACAGUACCUAAAUAAAUU
Molecule: long non-coding RNA, 263 nt
Filed under: Gallus gallus (chicken)
Lineage: Eukaryota; Metazoa; Chordata; Aves; Galliformes; Phasianidae
Source: RNAcentral